RNAcentral lists this ribosomal RNA (522 nucleotides) under uncultured bacterium. RNAcentral describes it as "bacterial SSU rRNA". It matches the Rfam family "Bacterial small subunit ribosomal RNA", at positions 988 to 1509 of the family's 1533-position model. The record is from RNAcentral.
CCAGAGAACUUAGCAGAGAUGCUUUGGUGCCUUCGGGGAACUCUGAGACAGGUGCUGCAUGGCUGUCGUCAGCUCGUGUUGUGAAAUGUUGGGUUAAGUCCCGCAACGAGCGCAACCCUUAUCCUUUGUUGCCAGCGGUCCGGCCGGGAACUCAAAGGAGACUGCCAGUGAUAAACUGGAGGAAGGUGGGGAUGACGUCAAGUCAUCAUGGCCCUUACGAGUAGGGCUACACACGUGCUACAAUGGCGCAUACAAAGAGAAGCGACCUCGCGAGAGCAAGCGGACCUCAUAAAGUGCGUCGUAGUCCGGAUUGGAGUCUGCAACUCGACUCCAUGAAGUCGGAAUCGCUAGUAAUCGUAGAUCAGAAUGCUACGGUGAAUACGUUCCCGGGCCUUGUACACACCGCCCGUCACACCAUGGGAGUGGGUUGCAAAAGAAGUAGGUAGCUUAACCUUCGGGAGGGCGCUUACCACUUUGUGAUUCAUGACUGGGGUGAAGUCGUAACAAGGUAGGCGUAGACGU